GACGAACGCUGGCGGCGUGCCUAAUACAUGCAAGUUGAGCGCUGAAGGUUGGUACUUGUACCAACUGGAUGAGUAGCGAACGGGUGAGUAACGCGUGGGGAAUCUGCCUUUGAGCGGGGGACAACAUUUGGAAACGAAUGCUAAUACCGCAUAAAAACUUUAAACACAAGUUUUAAGUUUGAAAGAUGCAAUUGCAUCACUCAAAGAUGAUCCCGCGUUGUAUUAGCUAGUUGGUGAGGUAAAGGCUCACCAAGGCGAUGAUACAUAGCCGACCUGAGAGGGUGAUCGGCCACAUUGGGACUGAGACACGGCCCAAACUCCUACGGGAGGCAGCAGUAGGGAAUCUUCGGCAAUGGACGAAAGUCUGACCGAGCAACGCCGCGUGAGUGAAGAAGAUUUUCGGAUCGUAAAACUCUGUUGGUAGAGAAGAACGUUGGUGAGAGUGGAAAGCUCAUCAAGUGACGGUAACUACCCAGAAAGGGACGGCUAACUACGUG
RNAcentral lists this ribosomal RNA (497 nucleotides) under uncultured bacterium. Its description in RNAcentral is "partial 16S ribosomal RNA". It matches the Rfam family "Bacterial small subunit ribosomal RNA", at positions 28 to 507 of the family's 1533-position model. The record is from RNAcentral.